This 355-nucleotide ribosomal RNA is filed under the name Nihonogomphus semanticus. RNAcentral describes it as "partial 12S ribosomal RNA". Lineage: Eukaryota; Metazoa; Arthropoda; Insecta; Odonata; Gomphidae. The record is from RNAcentral.
UUUAAAUGUAAAUAUUUAAUGACCAGGGUAGUAAUUGUUAUGUUCUUCAAACCCAAAGAAUUUGGCGGUGCUUUAGUCCCUUCAGAGGAAUCUGUCCCGUAAUCGACAUCCCACGAUAUAAAUUACUUAUUUUUGUUUUCAGUUUGUAUACCUCCGUCGUAAGAGAAUCUUUUUAGAGUUUAAUUUUCUUAAUAUAUUAAUUAUAUUAUGUCAGGUCAAGGUGCAAUUUAUAAAUAAGUGGAGAUGGAUUACAAUAAAAUUAUUUAAACGGAAUAAAUUAUUUAAUUUUUUAUGAAGGUGGAUUUGAUUGUAAUUUUAACAGUUUGUUACUAUGAUUAUUGGCUCUAAAGUAUGC